UUGACCUCAAAUCGGGUGAGACUACCCGCUGAACUUAAGCAUAUCAAUAAGCGGAGGAAAAGAAACUAACAAGGAUUCCCCUAGUAACUGCGAGUGAAGCGGGAAAAGCUCAAAUUUAAAAUCUGGCGGUCUUUGGCCGUCCGAGUUGUAAUUUAGAGAAGCGUCUUCCGCGCCGGACCGUGCACAAGUCUCCUGGAAUGGAGCGUCAUAGAGGGUGAGAAUCCCGUCUUUGGCACGGAUGCCCGGUGCUUCUGUGAUGCGCUCUCGAAGAGUCGAGUUGUUUGGGAAUGCAGCUCAAAAUGGGUGGUGAACUCCAUCUAAAGCUAAAUAUUGGCGAGAGACCGAUAGCGAACAAGUACCGUGAGGGAAAGAUGAAAAACACUUUGGAAAGAGAGUGAAACAGUACGUGAAAUUGUUGAAAGGGAAACGCUUGAAGUCAGUCGCGUCGACCGAGACUCAGCCUUGCCUCGGCUUGGUGUACUUCUCGGCCCGACGGGUCAGCGUCAAUUUUGCCCCUCGGAUAAUGGCAAGGGAAAGGUGGCACCUUUACGGGUGUGUUAUAGUCUCCUGUCGCAUGCGAGGGGUGGGAUUGAGGAACUCAGCGCGCACCUUGGUGUCGGGGCUUCUGCCCACGUCACGCGC
This 642-nucleotide ribosomal RNA is filed under the name uncultured fungus. RNAcentral describes it as "eukaryotic LSU rRNA". It matches the Rfam family "Eukaryotic large subunit ribosomal RNA", at positions 1 to 646 of the family's 3401-position model. The record is from RNAcentral. Lineage: Eukaryota; Fungi.